CCUACGGGAGACAGCAGUGAGGAAUAUUGGUCAAUGGACGCAAGUCUGAACCAGCCAUGCCGCGUGCAGGAAGACGGCUCUAUGAGUUGUAAACUGCUUUUGUACGAGCGUAAACGCAGAUACGCGUAUCUGUCUGAACGUCUCCUACGAAUAAGGAUCGGCUAGCUCCGUGCCAGCAGCGGCGGUAAUUCGGAGGAUUCAAGCGUUAUCCGGAUUUAGUGGGUGUAAAGGGUGCGUAGGCGGUCGGAUAAGUUAGAGGUGAAAUCCCGAGGCUCAACUUCGGAAUUGCCUCUGAUACUGUUCGGCUAGAGAGCAGGUGCGGUAGGCGGAAUGUAUGGUGUAGCGGUGAAAUGCGUAGAGAUCAUACAGAACACCGAUUGCGAAGGCAGCUUACCAAGCUACUUCUGACGUUGAGGCACGAAAGCGUGGGGAGCAAACAGGAUUAGAUACCCCAGUAGUC
This 460-nucleotide ribosomal RNA is filed under the name uncultured bacterium. RNAcentral's name for it is "partial 16S ribosomal RNA". It matches the Rfam family "Bacterial small subunit ribosomal RNA", at positions 338 to 795 of the family's 1533-position model. The record is from RNAcentral.